UAAUCAUUAUCAGAUAACUAUCGAAUUUUAUUUUUCACCUUCCGGGUGUCAGAAUGGCAUGAAACUUUAAAUCUAACCUCAUAAAAAUAAUUCUGACUUAUCCUCCAGUUUUCAUAAUUUUCUGACACUGUGCAUUUUCUGCUAACUUAUCUGCCCCGUUUCACACAGAAAAAUUCUAAAUAUUCUGUUUUCGCUCCGAUUUCAGCACAGGUCAUUCCCAACCUAUAUUUCACUUCUCUAAAUCCAAUAAAAAUAGUAUCUCAUACUAUUUUAUUUAUUUUCACUUUUACAUUUAAAAUCCGGUAUGUUAUAUUCCACCACAACCUCACCGGAACCAUUUAAAUGUACACCGUAAAUUCAUAGUUUUAGAAAUCCGAUACCCUACAUCCUCCCCUCCUUAAAAGGAGUUUCGUCCUCGAAACUCAAAUCUCAUCUCAAUUCGAGUUUUCGAGCAUCUGAGGGUAACAAUGCAUUUUUGCACUCCGGGAUGGCCUUUCUCUCAUCGGAACUACCCAAAGGCCGACUACGGAGGAUGUGAGACCAAACUCACUCACAUUUGCUAAGCACAACACCAAAUGUGCAUUACAAUUUCGUAAGUUUAGGUGGCAACGUAAGUCGACACUCGACGACUCUACACGCUCAACACCACUUGCUACCGAAUCCAGAGAGUACACUUCGAUUCAAUCACCGGCAUUGCCUAAAAGCAAUAUCACGAGUGCAUCGACCCAUCGUAAGUACUACCAUCACAAUCGAAUUUUGCUCUACUACGAGAUGGCACACUUCGGUACAUCUCAAAUGUUAAUCCUCAAGAGAGCAUAUCCUCAAGUCUCGCAUGGCUAGCCGCUAUUCGAGUGUCUCCAAGAGACCACUUUAUCUUCUUUUUCCAUUGCCACGGCCAACACCAAUUCGUUCCUGCAAUGAAUUCACACGAACACUUUGUUCGCGAAUCCAAGCCAAACUCCUAACUGAGUUACCGGCCAAACCACUCACCUCGGUUUUCCAUGGGUGGACCAAAGGUCACCAACCAUACGUAGGUCUACCGCCCAAACCUGUCUCAACACGUAGCGUCUCUCGCUCGCAAGCGUGGACCCAAUCAACACUAUUGGGCAAAAUUCUCACUUGGGAAUUCGCACACACUCCGACUAGGAGCAACUAUGACCCCAAACCGCUACCAAUCCUUGGGUCAGGUCACUACACACUCGGUGUGUCAUCGAUCUUGUAAUCCACAGGUGGCAUUCCACAUUCUCGAGUCUAAACUCGGACUACCUCCCUGACCAAAACUCUGCCCUACCCGUAGGUAUCAGGCCGCUGUCUCUCACAGCUGACUGUGCUUGCCCAAUGGGCCCAGGCUCCACAGUCCACAAAUGGUCCAGGCAUGGGUCGUCCCCAAGCAAUAGCCGUCAUCGUCGUCCUGCACGACAUGCUCUAUCGAGUCACACGUACCACUAUCGGCUCCUAUGCACCUAGUGCGAGCCACCAGCCCCACGAGUGACCCAUGGCCUGCUUCACACUUAGCAAUGCUAUAGUGCUACUGCCAUCUCACUCCCCCGGCUAAAUAGAAUUCGCACUCCACGAGUAUCUACACUCGAGCGCUCUACGCCUCUACAGUGUUCCACAUGAAGUCCAACAUUAGGCAAUCUUGCUUAUGCACACCGGCCGCACGAGCACAACCGCCUACCUCACCUUGAGGUACUACCAGGCCCACGUGCUCAUACUUGGCCACUAAUCUACCGCACUCUCAACAGUGAUUCUACUUUCACUGUUUAAUUUACCGGAACAAUAUCCGAAUUCUCGGAUUACUCGGGUGCCUACAAGCAUUAUGGCUCAACUCUAGCAAUCUACUGAUCAUGUUGCCUUGAGAGUCGCUUCACCAUUUCAUCUACACCACGAGUCUCAUUUCUCGUCCAUAGGCCACUACUAGCAAUUUGCUAGUGACGUCUCGCUCUCUACCUGCUCCAGCAGGCGCUAUACUCUCUCACACAGGUAUGCCCGGGUACCCUCACCUACCCGUCCACUGGUCCCUACUAUACUAAUGUAUAAAUAGUAGCAACUGACCAUGAAAAUGCAUGCAAUGCACCAAUUUAAUAUCAUGCAGAAACACACAUUUGCUGCAACUAAACCAUACCUGCCGUGGCAUCUUCGACAGCAGCAGGUUCCUCGACUUGAGCAGCAAACACCUGGCCACUCGGAGUCGACUGGGCCACCUCCGACUGACGAGGUGCCAUCACACGUCCAACUGACGCAACAGUUGGUAGGGCUCCUCCAUAAUGGCCCGAAAUCGCCAAAGACGAUGCAACAGACGGGACAGGCGAGGUCCUCCUUGGACAGUGGCGGCUGAUGUGUCCCGCCUGACCACACGUGAAGCAUUUUCCCUCUUUUUGCUCGCAAUGGUUCGGAUCAUGUUUACCUCCACAAAUGACACACUUCCGAGUCCCACAACUCUGGGACCGUGCUCGCGGGUACUUCGAAGGCUUCUUAGACCUUGACUGACCUCUCGAGCCGUCAGAGGCUCGCUUCUUACCGCCAUCCCUCUUGGACGCCUCUCGCUCCUCGCGGACGUGGGCAUUACUAUGCUCCGCCCACAACGCUCGAUCGAGCACUUCCGCAAAUGUAGUGAGCUUCAGAAUGUGAACCGCUUUAUAUAUAUCCGGUCGGAGUCCUCUCACGAACCAGUUGGCCCAAUCUCUGUCGUCUCGCACCACGUCGGGGACGCCGUCGAUAAUAUGUGAGAACUCCUGCUCAUACUCUCCGACCGAGCAGUUUCCUUGCUUUAACUUUCGGAAUUUAUCUUGGAGCUUCUUUUUCUUACUAUUGGGGAAAUAGUUGACAUAUAACAAGCUCCGAAACUCUUUCCACGUCAAUGGCGGAAGGUCGGGAGACCGAUCUCGCUUGACCCGCUUCAACCACACCUUCGUCGCCCGCUCCAUGCAAUGUGUAGCAAGGGGAACUUUAUCCUUCUCUAGUAUAUAGAGAUCUUCAAAAAGAGUCUCCAUUGAGUCCACCCACGACUCGACCAUCCAAGACUCAACCUUCUUCUCGUUGAACAUCGGCGGACUAAACUUUCGAAACUUCAUAAGAGCCGCAAGUGCGCGCUCCCUCUCGGCUUCCAUAGCUACACCUUCGGGAUUUAAUGUCCCCGAACUGGCAGCCACCAUCGCCGGCGUGGGUUGCGCCGCAACUGGCACAGCUGCAGUGGCCACACCCUCUGUCACGACGGGCACGACCACCGGAGGCGCGGGCCGCUCAACAUUCGCUUGAGCCGACGCCAGCUGCGCUACCAACUGUUGUAGCCUCGCAAUCUGGUCCUCUUGGCGCUGCAUCGCGCCGACCAUCGAAGCGAUCUGCGCUCGCAAUUCCCGCACUUCUUCAGAUCCCGACUGCUCGGGCACCUCGGGAGGUGGUGCCAAAGUGGAUCUAGUCGCGGGGCAUCUCUUUGGUGCCAUAGUUCCUGAAACACGACCACUUGGUUAAUCACCUUAACUCGUUAAUCUUGUGGCAACUACUAGACAACGCGACUCAAAUCAGGCAGAAGUCAUACAAGGGUGCCUAUUCUCAUCACUAGGUUUUAUGUUGUCGCGCGCCAACAUGAACACACUUGGUUGAGAAUAUACCACAUCUUGAGUCUCCCUCUAACAUCCGUUUUAGAGGUAUACUAUCUUAACCCAAUCGAUUCAACUUCCGCCACCGUUAUAGGUUCACGUUCUACUCACGCACCUAUAACCUUACGGUUUACCGUCCUAGGGUCUCCUAAGUCAUCCUAGACUCUCUCUUUACUUACUCUUAGCUUGCUCUGAUACCAACAACUCUGUCACGCCCCGCCCCAAAUCCAAUACUAAUUUGGCACGGUUCGGGCGCACCGGACGGACCGCCGAACGGACAGCACCUCUCCUGUCCGCCCAAGGCCAAGCAACCAAAUCAUGUACAGUUAAGCGCCCAGGGAAUGCUUAAAUAACAUACAUGAUCGAUACGAUGCACACAAGUGCAAUACAUCUAAGAGCAAGAACCACAAGUAAUAUACAAGUGUAUAAAGAGAGAUAGUCUAACUAUCACUACCAUUCAACAUUUACAUCAUUUGAAUAUAUUACAUUUUCAUCUUCCAAAUGUAAAUACAUAUUUGCCUCAAAUACAAAUAGCUCUCCAAUAACUAUCCAAAACAUCAUCUAGUACACGAGGGUACUCUAAUGCAUAAAGGAAAAGCUACUAACUAGGCUCACUUAGGGCGCUAUGCCCUUGCCGCUGUCCUCGCUCGGCUCGCCUCUGUGUGUACCUGUACCCCAAAACCACAUGGGGUGAGAACUAUAUAAAUAUAGUUCCCAGUGGGUUCGGCCGCCGACGCCGCCGGUUUUUCUACUAGGUCUAAGCUGGCACAGAUAGAGAGAUAGAUAGAUAUGUAAAGAGAUAAACUGCAGCUACUCUAUCAUGCCAUCAAUGAUGAUAAUGCAUGCAACAACAACUAUCAUACCAGAAUCAUGUCAUGAGUAUAUAAAGUACAUAGCAAUGCAAUCUACAACAUACACUAAGUCUACUCGAGGUAAUAAUGCAAGUCUACUAUGCAUCUCAUGGUAUGAAUGCAAUCCACUUAUGCUAUUCAUGUUACAAUAAUAAAGAAAUGAGCUGCUACAUAGUGAUGUAUCUGCACAUGCUACUAUGCCUCAAUAAUCCGAAUGAACGAGCUACUACAUAGUGCGUCGUGCAAUUAUGCCUCGAUAGUAUCCAAUCAUGGCAUGAAACUUUAAAUCUAGCCUCAUAAAAAUAAUUCUGACUUAUCCUCCAGUUUUCAUAAUUUUCUGACACUGUGCAUUUUCUGCUAACUUAUCUGCCCCGUUUCACAUAGAAAAUUCUAAAUAUUCUGUUUUCGCUCUGAUUUCAGCACAAGUCAUUCCCAACUUAUAUUUCACUUCUCUAAAUCCAAUAAAAAUAGUAUCUCAUACUAUUUUUAUUUAUUUUCACUUUUACAUUUAAAAUCCAGUAUGUUAUAUUCCACCGCAACCUCACCGGAACCAUUUAAAUGUACACCGUAACUUCAUAGUUUUAGAAAUCCGGUACCCUACAAAAGUACACCCUAAUUAGUUCUAAAAAUACAUCUCAACUAAAUGAAAACAAGCUUGCAUGGGUUCAUCUUUUCAACAUCGAGGAGGCUCUAGUUAGUCGUUGACCCCUUGCCACGAACCCUAGCCUUUCCCGCUGCGGAAGGCUCUUCAUAAAAACAACC
RNAcentral lists this long non-coding RNA (5212 nucleotides) under Ananas comosus (pineapple). RNAcentral describes it as "long non-coding RNA (ACOM_LNC023551)". Lineage: Eukaryota; Viridiplantae; Streptophyta; Magnoliopsida; Poales; Bromeliaceae. The record is from RNAcentral.